CCUACGGGGGGCAGCAGUGGGGAAUAUUGGACAAUGGGGGCAACCCUGAUCCAGCCAUGCCGCGUGUGUGAAGAAGGCCCUCGGGUUGUAAAGCACUUUCAGUGAGGAAGAACGCCUGGUGGUUAAUACCCAUCAGGAAAGACAUCACUCACAGAAGAAGCACCGGCUAACUCCGUGCCAGCAGCCGCGGUAAUACGGAGGGUGCGAGCGUUAAUCGGAAUUACUGGGCGUAAAGCGCGCGUAGGUGGCUUGAUAAGCCGGUUGUGAAAGCCCCGGGCUCAACCUGGGAACGGCAUCCGGAACUGUCAAGCUAGAGUGCAGGAGAGGAAGGUAGAAUUCCCGGUGUAGAGGUGAAAUGCGUAGAGAUCGGGAGGAAUACCAGUGGCGAAGGCGGCCUUCUGGACUGACACUGACACUGAGGUGCGAAAGCGUGGGUAGCAAACAGGAUUAGAUACCCGUGUAGUC
This 465-nucleotide ribosomal RNA is filed under the name Vreelandella stevensii. Its description in RNAcentral is "partial 16S ribosomal RNA". It matches the Rfam family "Bacterial small subunit ribosomal RNA", at positions 338 to 795 of the family's 1533-position model. The record is from RNAcentral. Lineage: Bacteria; Pseudomonadati; Pseudomonadota; Gammaproteobacteria; Oceanospirillales; Halomonadaceae.